Odocoileus virginianus texanus is the source of this 542-nucleotide non-coding RNA. Lineage: Eukaryota; Metazoa; Chordata; Mammalia; Artiodactyla; Cervidae. The record is from RefSeq and is a predicted model, not a curated record.
AGGGGUGGGCACAGCUGGGCCGCUCACGCGUCACGUGACAGUGCCGGGUGCAGCGUCUCUGCACCCGGUUCACAGCCGCCAUCUUGAAUUGAGUGUCUGUCGGCAACUUCUGCACAGGGCUGGUCCAGCUGAGGUGUCAGUGUUCAUGCGGCCAUUUCCCGCAGGGAACUCUGGUCUGAAGUACCAGGUGUGAGGCCUCUGACAGCAUCCUGUGAGCAAGUGGAACUAGACCAAACACAAAGGAAAAGAAAAGCUUGUGCUGGAGGAAGCCAGUUGUCAUACCAGGAGGAUGUUCAAGCAGCCUGUGGAGAGAGGAGAUCCAUAUGGUGAGGAAUAAAGGCCUCCUGCCAGCAACCAUGUGAGGAACCACUGUACAGGGGGGUCCUCUCACCCAGGCAAGCCUUUGGGUGACUGAAACACGAGCCAACAUCUUGACUACAAUCACGUGAGAUACCCAGAGCCAGAACCAGCCAGCUAAGUCUCUCCUGGCUUCCUGACUUUCCAGACUCAUGUGAUAUAAUAAAAAUUUAUUGCUGUUUUAA